GACGAACGCUUGCGGCGUGCUUAACACAUGCAAGUCGAACGGAAAGGCCCUGCUUUUGUGGGGUGCUCGAGUGGCGAACGGGUGAGUAACACGUGAGUAACCUGCCCUUGACUUUGGGAUAACUUCAGGAAACUGGGGCUAAUACCGGAUAGGAGCUCCUGCUGCAUGGUGGGGGUUGGAAAGUUUCGGCGGUUGGGGAUGGACUCGCGGCUUAUCAGCUUGUUGGUGGGGUAGUGGCUUACCAAGGCUUUGACGGGUAGCCGGCCUGAGAGGGUGACCGGCCACAUUGGGACUGAGAUAUGGCCCAGACUCCUACGGGAGGCAGCAGUGGGGAAUAUUGCACAAUGGGCGGAAGCCUGAUGCAGCAACGCCGCGUGCGGGAUGACGGCCUUCGGGUUGUAAACCGCUUUCGCCUGUGACGAAGCGUGAGUGACGGUAAUGGGUAAAGAAGCACCGGCUAACUACGUGCCAGCAGCCGCGGUGAUACGUAGGGUGCGAGCGUUGUCCGGAUUUAUUGGGCGUAAAGGGCUCGUAGGUGGUUGAUCGCGUCGGAAGUGUAAUCUUGGGGCUUAACCCUGAGCGUGCUUUCGAUACGGGUUGACUUGAGGAAGGUAGGGGAGAAUGGAAUUCCUGGUGGAGCGGUGGAAUGCGCAAAUAUCAGGAGGAACACCAGUGGCGAAGGCGGUUCUCUGGGCCUUUCCUGACGCUGAGGAGCGAAAGCGUGGGGAGCGAACAGGCUUAGAUACCCUGGUAGUCCACGCUGUAAACGGUGGGUACUAGGUGUGGGGUCCAUUCCACGGGUUCCGUGCCGUAGCUAACGCUUUAAGUACCCCGCCUGGGGAGUACGGCCGCAAGGCUAAAACUCAAAGGAAUUGACGGGGCCCCGCACAAGCGGCGGAGCAUGCGGAUUAAUUCGAUGCAACGCGUAGAACCUUACCUGGGUUUGACAUGGAUCGGGAGUGCUCAGAGAUGGGUGUGCCUCUUUUGGGGUCGGUUCACAGGUGGUGCAUGGCUGUCCUCAGCUCGUGUCGUGAGAUGUUGGGUUAAGUCCCGCAACGAGCGCAACCCUUGUUCACUGUUGCCAGCACGUUAUGGUGGGGACUCAGUGGAGACCGCCGGGGUCAACUCGGAGGAAGGUGGGGAUGACGUCAAGUCAUCAUGCCCCUUAUGUCCAGGGCUUCACGCAUGCUACAAUGGCUGGUACAGAGAGUGGCGAGCCUGUGAGGGUGAGCGAAUCUCGGAAAGCCGGUCUCAGUUCGGAUUGGGGUCUGCAACUCGACCUCAUGAAGUCGGAGUCGCUAGUAAUCGCAGAUCAGCAACGCUGCGGUGAAUACGUUCCCGGG
Molecule: ribosomal RNA, 1343 nt
Filed under: uncultured bacterium
Lineage: Bacteria
Description: 16S ribosomal RNA
Rfam family: Bacterial small subunit ribosomal RNA
Source: RNAcentral